UACGUAGGGUGCAAGCGUUAAUCGGAGUUACUGGGCGUAAAGCGUGCGUAGGCGGUGUCUUAAGUUUGUUGUGAAAUCUCCCGGCUUAACCGGGAGGGUGCGGCGAAUACUGAGAUGCUGGAGUGCCGGAGAGGUAAGCGGAGUUCCUGGUGUAGCGGUGAAAUGCGUAGAUAUCAGGAGGAACACCUGCGGUGUAGACGGCUUACUGGACGGUAACUGACGCUGAGGCACGAAAGCGUGGGUAGCAAACAGG
Molecule: ribosomal RNA, 253 nt
Filed under: uncultured bacterium
Lineage: Bacteria
Description: partial 16S ribosomal RNA
Rfam family: Bacterial small subunit ribosomal RNA
Source: RNAcentral